RNAcentral lists this ribosomal RNA (154 nucleotides) under Agroathelia rolfsii. RNAcentral describes it as "Athelia rolfsii 5.8S ribosomal RNA". It matches the Rfam family "5.8S ribosomal RNA". Rfam says of the family: 5.8S ribosomal RNA (5.8S rRNA) is a component of the large subunit of the eukaryotic ribosome. It is transcribed by RNA polymerase I as part of the 45S precursor that also contains 18S and 28S rRNA. Lineage: Eukaryota; Fungi; Basidiomycota; Agaricomycetes; Amylocorticiales; Amylocorticiaceae. The record is from RNAcentral.
CAACUUUCAACAACGGAUCUCUUGGCUCUUGCAUCGAUGAAGAACGCAGCGAAAUGCGAUAAGUAAUGGGAAUUGCAGAAUCCAGGGAACCAUCGAAUCUUUGAACGCACCUUGCGCCCUUUGGUAUUCCGAGGCUUAUGCCUGUUUGAGAGUC